AUCACCGCCGGACGGGCGAGGUUGUGAGGGUUGGGGAACCCGGUGACCAGCUUCAUCCGAGAUGGCUCGGGUUUAAGGGAGCCCGGGACCGAUCGCUCUGGCGAAGGAG
Small RNA from Actinomyces massiliensis F0489, 109 nucleotides. It matches the Rfam family "Actinomyces-1 RNA". NCBI's taxonomy places the organism in Bacteria, Bacillati, Actinomycetota, Actinomycetes, Actinomycetales, Actinomycetaceae. The record is from Rfam.